Paramuricea clavata is the source of this 903-nucleotide non-coding RNA. Lineage: Eukaryota; Metazoa; Cnidaria; Anthozoa; Malacalcyonacea; Plexauridae. The record is from the annotation of a GenBank genome assembly.
GUAAAAACAAUUAUGAUAAUGUCAAAUGCCAAAUUUUGUGUAAAUAUAUAGUUUAUUAGAUGUUCUUUACACAAUUUAAAACGUUACUAAGCUUUUUCCCUCUGAGUAGAAUUGUACUUCAACAUGAUUGACGCUUCGAAUGUUUUUUCUAAAGCAGUUUCCUGGCCUUUUGAAAAGAUACUGUUCAAAAGGCUAAAGACUCUCUCAGCAGCACCAGAACGUAGUUGAUGACGAGCAAAAUUUUUCUAACAACAGCUGCCCAUUUUGGAAGAGUGCUUGCAUUCCUUGCCCACCACUUUACUUUGUCAUCUUCCGUUUGUACUUGAACACCAUCUGAUAGAGCCAGAUAAUUUGGAAGUUCUUGACCAAGUCCAUUAAUAAUUGCAUCAUCAUCCAAAAAUGGAAAUUUACGAAGUAGUUCUAAAGACUCUAUGGUAGGUUGGAGUCCUUGAACUUGUACUGGACAGCACAACUGCACAAGCGUGCACCUCGAAAUGCUCGCAUAAUAUCAUAGAACUCAAUGUUGACUUUGUUCAAGUAGUAUUGGAAGCCAGGUUUGAUGCAAGACUUCGCUCUUUCAAGCAGUUGGUUGAAAAUAACCUGGUUGCCAUUUGCUCUUUCACGUGACAGUGCAGUACAAUUGCACUGUUUGAGCCAAAGCCGUCAAGUGCUGGUAAAUAUCAAAGGACCAUCCCCUUCGAGAUUGUAUGUUGUUGUAACAAAGCUUCGUCCACCAUCAAUUAGAGCUGCAAUUUCAAGCUUUAAAUCCGCAACAUCUUCAGGACUUAAAGUUUGUUCGUUCACUGCAACCAGGUAUAUCAAUCGUGUUUCGCUCGCUACUCUGGUUUAAAGAAAUGAUUACAAAGCCCAGUCGAAUUGUAAUCAAGACCCAACGUUUCGACA